UUGUUACUUUUAUGUUUCACUUUUACAACGUAGUAGGCCCCUAAUGACCCCCAUCUAUGGUGCUUAUAGCAACUUAUAACGCCUAUUUAAUGGCCUGAUAACAGUCGAAUCGGGUGAAAAGCAAGAUGUCAUCAGCAUAGAGUGAGACCCUAUGCUCCGUGCUGCCUCUCCAAAUACCACCAGUAGACCAGUAAAGACGCCUUUACAGUAGUCAGGUCGGCUGAAGAUAAAUGCAUGGACUAGUUUUUCCAAAUCCUGCUGAUACAUCAGUCCUCUAAUUCUUGCUAUAUUUAACAAAACAAUAAGAUUCUCCUGAAAUAAGUCUUUGCAUUUCCUAGUAUUUAAGAUGCCCAGAUAGGCAGGUUGGUGAGGCCUAAGGUUCGUGCUUCAUUAAUGAGAAAGAGCUCGCUUUUGUUGAAAUUGAAUUUGUCUCCCGAAAAUCGAUCAAACUGACUGAGCGGAGGGAAGUGAGGUACUCAGGUUGGAGACAAAAAGCAAGAUGUCAUCAGCACAGAGUGAGACCCUAUGCUCCGCGUUGCCCCUCCAAAUACCAGAUAUGUUCUUGCAACUAUGGAAGGCUGUGGUAAGUGGUUCAAUGGUCAAAUUGAAAAGCAUGGGGCUAGGAGAGCACCCCUGGAAGGUUCAGACGUUUGAUUUUUGGUGGAUCCUUGUGUUUUUGAUGGGUCUGGUAGUUCUGUUUUUGUAGCUUUAUUUCUGUUAGGACUUCUUUUGUAAAGAGCCUCUCUGGGGGUCGUAACAGGAAUACACAAAUGUAAUUAUAGUCUACUUGUGCUCUAGAUGGGGAAGUAAUAUUAUAAGCAUUAACUUAAACAUUCACACAGUCAGCAAUUUUCUGCCAGCUGUCCUUCCUGCAUUAGAUGCAACUGUAUUUCUUCUAGCCUGGAUUAUGUGUUUAAUGUCUUUGUAUAUCUGUAUUAUUUUUGUUUGUUCGUUUGUAAAAUAUGUUGACAGAAGACCUACACUUUUUUGUUAUUGGUCAUAUGCAGCAAACACCGCCCAUUUUAUGUGAAUGCGCACUUAGCCAGAUUCAGAAAACCUGGGUUGAUUUACUGAGUUUAUAACCACCGUCAUAGGACGGCUGACUGUGGUUGUUAGAGUUAGUGAAGCCUGAUAACAAAAGGAUAUCCUGGGUAUGUUGAAAUUGUUUUGUAGUACAGGCCUCAGGAUCAUUACCCUCCGACCCCUCUGCUGGUCUGCCUGCCUCACCUGCUUGGUACCAUAACCCCGAGUCCAUCAGUUACUGAUCGUAACAAAAUCUUGAGAGGAUAACCAUGAGCUGAAAAGUGCUGACCAGUCUGAUGAUGCCAACUCGUGACAGGAGAGAUCAAAGACUGAACUAUGAGACGAUCCCAUCAGCUGCUGUCUCACUGUGAGAGAUGUCUGUGUGUUGGAUCCAAAUGAUCUCACCUCUCAUCAUCUGCACUGUUUCUCUGCUAUGUACUGCAGAUGAAGCAUUGACUACAGUCCAUCAGACCCCAGGCUUACUGGUGGAGAGGGGUCACUCUGCUCAGAUGGACUGCUGGCACAACAAAUAUAGCACUUGGUAUGACGCGUACUGGUUUCAGCAGUUACCAGGGGAGAGUAUGAAGCUGAUCGUCCACACGGUGCCUUUCAAGCAGCCUGACUUUGGGAACUUCAGCCAGGACAAAUACUCAGCCAACAAGACUGUGGAUGAGAGCGGAUCUUUCACAGUGAAACAUGUGGAACCAGGUGACAACGGAGUGUAUUUCUGUUUUGUUACAUUGGGACACAGUGAUGCAGAUACCUGUCAAGCUGCACCAAAACUACAUCAGAGUCAGGAGGGGUUUCAUAACUUCCUUUCAGAGAAGCUGGGUGACAUGUGCAUGUGGCUUCACAAUGUGGUGAUCGUGGUUUAUGUUAUGUUUCCCAUGCCUGCAACACUUUUGCAACCAAGGAAAAUAGUAUCACAAGAGUAACACAGUUUUAAUGUUAAAAGGAUCUUCUGUAUCUUUUCCUGUUGCUUUGCGGGUAAUGACUUCUGUUGAAAAGCAAUCAUCACACCAAUUUUUGAAGCUGGAGCACCAGGCCAAGUAGACAAUUAUAGACCCAUCUGUAUUCUACCUGCUUACUCAAAGGUCCUGGAAGAAGUCAUUGCAGAACAACUAACUGACCACCUCGAAACCAACAAACUCAUUCAUCCUACGCAAUUUGGCUUUUGGCAAGGGUAUUCAACAGAAAUGGCCAUCUGUUACCUCACUGAGAACAUCAAGAGCGCCCUUGACAAGGGUAAUGUGGUGGGAGCGGUGUUUCUAGACCUUAAAAAGGCUUUUGAUACCAUGAACCACUACAUACUCCUGAACAAACUUAGUGCCUUUAAUUUUUCAGAUCAAGCAACUACAUGCAUCAUAUCUCCAAUGAGCAAUGUGUAAAAAUAAAUGACAAAUAUUAAAUCCCCCAACAAUCCGUAAUGGGUAUUCCACAAGGCUCAAUCUUGGGACCGCUGCUUUUUCAGCUUAUAUAUAAAUGACUUGCCAUCAUGCUGCAAAACAGCUGGAUGUCAAAUGUACGCUGAUGACAGAGUCAUUUACUUGUCAGCUAAAACCCCCUGUGUAGCACCAGAGACACUAUCUAGUGAAAUGGAGGGUGUAUCACAAUGGGUCCAACAUAAUCAUCUAACCUUGAAUCUUAAGAAGACUUUGUCAAUGUGUUUCUCCAUUAAAAGGAGAGCACAUGAUAAGCUUACAAUCAAAACUGAAUUUGACAAACAUGUUAAAAAGUUAUGUAAGACAGUAAAGGUAAAUCUGAACUGUUUUAGAACGAUACGACAAUACAUACCCCUUAAAGCAGCUCAACUGUUUAUGCAUUCAAUGAUAUUUUCA
Non-coding RNA from Sebastes umbrosus (honeycomb rockfish), 2861 nucleotides. The record is from the annotation of a RefSeq genome assembly. NCBI's taxonomy places the organism in Eukaryota, Metazoa, Chordata, Actinopteri, Perciformes, Sebastidae.